Vanessa tameamea is the source of this 315-nucleotide long non-coding RNA. RefSeq lists it as uncharacterized. The record is from RefSeq and is a predicted model, not a curated record. Lineage: Eukaryota; Metazoa; Arthropoda; Insecta; Lepidoptera; Nymphalidae. The transcript is spliced from 3 exons.
UCGUUUCACGUCAAGCUUAAUUGUUCUCUUCAAAAUGUUGACUGAAAAGAAUCCAAAAGAAAUUACGCCUUUAUUAGCAACACUGAAUUCACAAAUUCAACGGUUAAAUGCUGAAGGUAGAAUGUUAAUAUUCGAAGGAAUGAUGGCUGAAGUGUUCCAAGCGAUGAUUCAGAUGUUAGCCUCCGAACCUUCUGAUGUUAUGCUAAAUCAUUUUAAAUACGCAGAAUAUGCGUUAGAAAAUAGACGUGCAGUUCUAAAGAGAGAUAUUAACGGUCUAAUCGACGUUGUAGAUACCGUUUAUAUAGAAAAGGAGAU